UCAGAUAAAACGUAGAUCAGUUAUACAGGGUGGUUGGUAACUGGUGGUACAAGCGGAAAGGGGGUGAUUCUACGUAGAAUUAUCAACCACCCUGUAUAUCCUAACUUUUCUAUACUUCCUUUAGCUAAUACUAUUGUAGUUAGUAACUUAUACUUACUUUCUAAAUAGUCAUUUACUUCGCAUAUGUAUUUUUCAAUAAUGUGAUAUAUAAACAGUUCAAUAAAACCAACAGUCCGGAAUAAAAUGAUAGCCAUAUUUUUGCUAGUGUUGUAACAUCUUAUCUUAUGUAAAAUCGUGAAAAUGAGACUAGAAAAGGCUUUAAAUAACAGUAACAGUAACAGUAACAGAAUUUUGCUAUUAAAAUUAGUUAGUAGUCCCGGAAUAGAAAAAAAAAAUAAAAA
Long non-coding RNA from Bombus huntii, 401 nucleotides. RefSeq lists it as uncharacterized. The transcript has 2 exons. The record is from RefSeq and is a predicted model, not a curated record. Lineage: Eukaryota; Metazoa; Arthropoda; Insecta; Hymenoptera; Apidae.